AGAGUUUGAUCCUGGCUCAGGAUGAACGCUAGCUACAGGCUUAACACAUGCAAGUCGAGGGGAAACGACAUCGAAAGCUUGCUUUUGAUGGGCGUCGACCGGCGCACGGGUGAGUAACGCGUAUCCAACCUGCCCACCACUUGGGGAUAACCUUGCGAAAGUAAGACUAAUACCCAAUGAUAUCUCUAGAAGACAUCUGAAAGAGAUUAAAGAUUUAUCGGUGAUGGAUGGGGAUGCGUCUGAUUAGCUUGUUGGCGGGGUAACGGCCGACCAAGGCUACGAUCAGUAGGGGUUCUGAGAGGAAGGUCCCCACAUUGGAACGUGAGACACGGUCCAAACUCCUACGGGAGGCGA
This 354-nucleotide ribosomal RNA is filed under the name uncultured bacterium. RNAcentral's name for it is "bacterial SSU rRNA". It matches the Rfam family "Bacterial small subunit ribosomal RNA", at positions 8 to 351 of the family's 1533-position model. The record is from RNAcentral.